AGGAUAAACGCUGGCGGCGUGCCUAACACAUGCAAGUCGAACGUCUCUUCUUUCGGGAAGAGGAGUGGCGGACGGGUGAGGAACACGUGGGAACCUGCCCUUUAGUGAGGAAUACCGGCGAGAAAUCGCCGACAAGACCGCAUAGCCCUCUUUGAUGAGAGUCAAAGAAGGAAAGCUUCGCAAGAGGCGCUAGAGGAGGGGCCUGCGUCCGAUUAGCUAGUUGGUGGGGUAAGAGCCUACCAAGGCGUCGAUCGGUAGCUGGUCUGAGAGGACGAUCAGCCACACUGGGAUUGAGAACGGCCCAGACUCCUACGGGGGCAGCAGUGAGGAAUUUUCCGCAAUGGGCGAAAGCCUGACGGAGCAAUGCCGCGCGGAGGAUGAAAGCCUAUGGGUUGUAAACUCCUUUUAUCAGAGAAGAAAUAUUGACAGUAUCUGGGGAAUAAGCAUCGGCUAACUCCGUGCCAGCAGCCGCGGUAA
This 477-nucleotide ribosomal RNA is filed under the name uncultured bacterium. RNAcentral's name for it is "SSU rRNA". It matches the Rfam family "Bacterial small subunit ribosomal RNA", at positions 26 to 523 of the family's 1533-position model. The record is from RNAcentral.